Molecule: unclassified non-coding RNA, 346 nt
Filed under: soil metagenome
Description: partial contains 5.8S ribosomal RNA, internal transcribed spacer 2, and large subunit ribosomal RNA
Rfam family: 5.8S ribosomal RNA (bases 1-120)
Source: RNAcentral
GAUGAAGAACGCAGCGAAAUGCGAUAAGUAGUGUGAAUUGCAGAAUUCAGUGAAUCAUCGAAUCUUUGAACGCACAUUGCACCCGCCAGUAUUCUGGCGGGCAUGCCUGUUCGAGCGUCAUUUCAACCCUCAAGCCCUCGGGUUUGGUGUUGGGGAUCGGCGAGCCUUUCUGGCAAGCCGGCCCCGAAAUCUAGUGGCGGUCUCGCUGCAGCCUCCAUUGCGUAGUAGUAAAACCCUCGCAACUGGAACGCGGCGCGGCCAAGCCGUUAAACCCCCAACUUCUGAAUGUUGACCUCGGAUCAGGUAGGAAUACCCGCUGAACUUAAGCAUAUCAAUAAGCGGAGGA